This 103-nucleotide microRNA precursor is filed under the name Trifolium pratense (red clover). The record is from RNAcentral. Lineage: Eukaryota; Viridiplantae; Streptophyta; Magnoliopsida; Fabales; Fabaceae.
AGCAACAGGUGGUAUUGGGACGGUUCAAACUGAUCAUAGCUUUCAAUCAGUAAGUCUUGACUCUGUGAUCUGAUUGAGCCGCGCCAAUAUCGCCUGCCUCUUA